GACGAACGCUGGCGGCGUGCUUAACACAUGCAAGUCGAACGGCAAGGCCCUGCUUUUGUGGGGUGCUCGAGUGGCGAACGGGUGAGUAACAUGGGAGUAACCUGCCCUUGACUUUGGGGUAACUUCAGGAAACUGGGGCUAAUACCGGAUAGGAGCUGCUGCUGCCGGGUGGGGGUUGGAAAGUUUCGGCGGUUGGGGAUGGACUCGCGGCUUAUCAGCUUGUUGGUUGGGUAGUGGCUUACCCAGGCUUCGGCAGGUAGCCGGCCCGGGAGGGUGGCCGGCCACAAUGCUACUGCGAGACGGCGCAGACUGGUAUGGUGGGCAGCAGGGGGGAAUAUUGCACAAUGAGCGGAAGUGUGAUGUAGAAACCCUGCGGUCGGGAUGACGUCCUGCGGGUUGUAAACCGCUUUGGGCUGUGACGAAGCGUGAGUGACGGUAAUGGGUAAAGAAGCACCGGCUAACUACGUG
This 468-nucleotide ribosomal RNA is filed under the name uncultured bacterium. RNAcentral's name for it is "partial 16S ribosomal RNA". It matches the Rfam family "Bacterial small subunit ribosomal RNA", at positions 28 to 507 of the family's 1533-position model. The record is from RNAcentral.